Molecule: ribosomal RNA, 1188 nt
Filed under: Rhynchocypris lagowskii (Amur minnow)
Lineage: Eukaryota; Metazoa; Chordata; Actinopteri; Cypriniformes; Leuciscidae
Description: partial 16S ribosomal RNA
Rfam family: Bacterial large subunit ribosomal RNA
Source: RNAcentral
GGUGAGCUACCCCGAGACAGCCUAUAUUAAUUUAGGGCUAACCCGUCUCUGUGGCAAAAGAGUGGAAAGAGCUCCGGGUAGAAGUGAAAGACCUACCGAACCUGGUGAUAGCUGGUUGACUGAGAAAUGGAUAGAAGUUCAGCCUCGCACACCCCAAACCAAAAAAUAUUAUCACCAAGAUAUUAAGGGAAACGUACGAGAGUUAGUUAAAAGGGGUACAGCCCUUUUAACAAAGGAUACAACCUUUACAGGAGGAUAAAGAUCAUAAUGUAUAAGAUAUACUGUUCUAGUGGGCCUGAAAGCAGCCACCUAAACAGAAAGCGUUAAAGCUCGGACAGAAGGAAGUUUAUUAUACUGAUAAAAAAUCUUAUUCCCCUAGCUAUAUCAGACCAACCCAUGCCUCCAUGGAAGAGAUUAUGCUAAAAUGAGUAAUAAGAAGACCCGCUCUUCUCCCAGCACAAGUGUAAACCAGAUCGGACUGACCACUGGAACUUAACGAACCCAACCCCAGAGGGUAGUGUGAUUAACAAAGAACUCAAGAAGACCUCACAUAACUAAUCGUUAACCCCACACUGGAGUGCUAUUUUAAGGGAAAGACUAAAAGAAGGGGAAGGAACUCGGCAAACACAAGCCUCGCCUGUUUACCAAAAACAUCGCCUCCUGCAACUAAACUGAGUAUAGGAGGUCCAGCCUGCCCAGUGACUACGGGUUCAACGGCCGCGGUAUCUUGACCGUGCAAAGGUAGCGCAAUCACUUGUCUCUUAAAUAGAGACCUGUAUGAAUGGCUAGACGAGGGCUUAACUGUCUCCCCCUUCCAGUCAGUGAAAUUGAUCUAUCCGUGCAGAAGCGGGUAUAAAUAUACAAGACGAGAAGACCCUUUGGAGCUUAAGGUACAAAAUUCAGCCACGUUAAACAACUCUAUAAGAAGCAAGAACUUAGUGAUAAUGAAAUUUUACCUUCGGUUGGGGCGACCGCGGAGGAAAAACAAGCCUCCGAGUGGACUGGGCCGAAUCCCUGAAGCCAAUAGAGACAUCUAUAAGCCGCAGAACAUCUGACCAAAAAUGAUCCGGCUAAAAGCCGAUCAACGAACCAAGUUACCCAAGGGAUAACAGCGCAAUCCCCUCCCAGAGCCCAUAUCUACGAGGGGGUUUACGACCUCGAUGUUGGAUCAGGACAUCCUAAUGGUGC